CACGUAGUUAGCCGGAGCCUCCUCCUUAGGUACUGUCCUUUUUCUUCCCUAACGACAAUAGUUUACAAUCCGAAGACCUUCUUCCUAUACGCGGCGUCACUGCGUCAGAGUUUCCUCCAUUGCGCAAUAUUCCCGACUGCUGCCUCCCGUAGGAGUCUGGGCCGUAUCUCAGUCCCAAUGUGGCCGUUCAACCUCUCAGUCCGGCUACUGAUCGUUGACUUGGUAGGCCGUUACCCCACCAACUAUCUAAUCAGACGCGAGCCCAUCUAUUAGCGGAUUACUCCUUUCCCACUUCCAUCAUGUGAUGAUUAUGGCAUAUGCGGUAUUAGCAAUGAUUUCUCACUGUUAUUCCCCUCUAAUAGGCAGGUUGCUCACGCGUUACUCACCAGUCCGCCACUAAGCCAUUGUUAUAAAAUUCAAUCAGAUAAAUCUUCAAUUCAUUUUAUAACGACUUCCGUUCGACUUGCAUGUCUUAUGUGCGCCGCAGUCGUUUAU
This 495-nucleotide ribosomal RNA is filed under the name uncultured Eubacteriales bacterium. Its description in RNAcentral is "uncultured Clostridiales bacterium partial 16S ribosomal RNA". Lineage: Bacteria; Bacillati; Bacillota; Clostridia; Eubacteriales. The record is from RNAcentral.